UUUUUCCCUCCUUUGCCUGGUAGACCUCUCUCCUUGAAGACAAAGUGUUGAUAUCAACUCCACCUUCAAGUCUCUCAAGCAGAACUAGAUGCUGUUUCUUCAAUGUUUCCACAUCUUCUUGUUCACAUGUGUCUAAGAUGCUUCAAGGGAAAUCUGUCUCCCCAGACACUUGCGUACUACAUUGUAAGCCAUUUUUACUAUGAAGAAGAUUGUAAGCUCAAUUACGGGCUUUACUGCGCUGAUAACGAACACAGAUAUGAGACAAGCAGACUUGAGCUCCUGCCUCGAGGAUGGUGAGCAAAGAGCCUAAGCAAAACUGAGAGGAAAUGAAACACAAAGAGGAAACAGAAAGGGUCUCUCUUUGUCACGCAGGUUGGAGUGCAGUGGUAUGAUCACUGACUGCAGGCUUGAUCUCCUGGGCUCAAAUGAUUCUCCCACCUCAGCCUCCUGAGUAGCCAGGACUUCAGGCAUGCAUCACCACAUCUGGCUAAUUUUUGUAUUUUUUGUAGAGAUGGGAUUUUGCCAUGUUGUCCGGGCUGGUCUUGAACUGCUGAGCUCAAGCAAUCUGCUUGCCUCGGCCUCCUAAAGUGCUGGGAUUACAGGCAUGAGCCACCAGGCCCAGUCUAAGGCCUAAUAAGUUAUGCUACCAAAAAU
This 654-nucleotide long non-coding RNA is filed under the name Homo sapiens (human). RNAcentral describes it as "HSALNT0294478". Lineage: Eukaryota; Metazoa; Chordata; Mammalia; Primates; Hominidae. The record is from RNAcentral.